GAUGAACGCUGGCGGCGUGCCUAAUACAUGCAAGUCGAGCGGACGGACGGAAGCUUGCUUUUCUGAUGUUAGCGGCGGACGGGUGAGUAACACGUGGAUAACCUACCUAUAAGACUGGGAUAACUUCGGGAAACCGGAGCUAAUACCGGAUAAUAUUUUGAACCGCAUGGUUCAAAAGUGAAAGACGGUCUUGCUGUCACUUAUAGAUGGAUCCGCGCUGCAUUAGCUAGUUGGUAAGGUAACGGCUUACCAAGGCAACGAUGCAUAGCCGACCUGAGCGGGGGAUCGGCCACCCUGGAGCUGGGACACGGUCCAGAGUCCUACGGGAGGCAGCAGUAGGGAAUCUUCCGCAAUGGGCGAAAGCCUGACGGAGCAACGCCGCGUGAGUGAUGAAGGUCUUCCGAUCGUAAAACUCUGUUAUUAGGGAAGAACAUAUGUGUAAGUAACUGUGCACAUCUUGACGGUACCUAAUCAGAAAGCCACGGCUAACUACGUG
This 496-nucleotide ribosomal RNA is filed under the name uncultured bacterium. Its description in RNAcentral is "partial 16S ribosomal RNA". It matches the Rfam family "Bacterial small subunit ribosomal RNA", at positions 28 to 507 of the family's 1533-position model. The record is from RNAcentral.